Molecule: ribosomal RNA, 372 nt
Filed under: Pseudophasma unicolor
Lineage: Eukaryota; Metazoa; Arthropoda; Insecta; Phasmatodea; Pseudophasmatidae
Description: partial small subunit ribosomal RNA
Source: RNAcentral
UUAUACAANAGAUUCAAUUCAAUAUUUUUGGUUAGUAGAAGUUAAAUUUUGUUUUGAGAUUAUUAUAUUUUUUUUUUAGGUGAAAUUUAAAUUUUAAUUAUUUUUUUUAAUGAUUCUUUUAAAUUCUUAUAAUUAAACUAGGAUUAGAUACCCUAUUAUUUUGAAUGUUAAAAUUUUGCCAGGGUAGUAAUAGUUAUGUUCUUUAAACCCAAAGAAUUUGGCGGUAUUUUAGUCUAUUUAGAGGAAUUUGCCCCGUAAUCGAUAAUCCUCGUUUUAUCUUUCUUGUUUUUGUUGAAUCAGUAAGUAUACCGCCGUUAUAAGUUUAUUUUUUUAGAAUUUUUAAUUUACUUUAAAAAUUAUUAUUUUUUAUUU